UAAGAGUUUCACCUUCCCCUAACUAUUAAUAUUUAGCCAAACAUUUUUUUAAUAAAGGAAAUUACUAAAAUUGAAAAACACAUAAUUAAAAAUGGAAUUUGAAAAUUGAAAUAAAACUAAUUUAUUGAUUGAAAAUAAAUUACAAAAAGAGAUGAGAAGAAGAAUUUGGGGGGAAAGAAGAGAAGAGAAGGUGUGGAGGGGUGUGUUCACCCCCCUCCCCUCUAUUUAUACUAAUACAUGGUAAAUCCACACCACACAAAUAAAAAAAUAUAAUUACAUCUUAACCUUACAUUUGUCCCACUAAUAAUCCCACUAAUAAAACAUAAACCUAACUUAUCCACUCAAGCAUAUCCAACACAUUCCACUAACAAUUACCAUACCUAAUAUGGUAAAAACUUAUAAUUUUACAAUUAUUACAUUUAGCGUGGUAAAAACGUAAAAAUUUACAACAAAAGUCUUGGAUCCUCCUCGACAAUGACUUAAUUUCUCGGACUUUCGGAAUCCAAAUUUGACAUCCAUACAUUUGUUCGGAACCUCAAAUUGCAUGAAAUUAUUAUUUUUACCUAAUAAACACACAAAAAUACACAAAAUCAAAUAUUUAGAAAAAUAAUUAGAAAUUCACAAUGAGUUACACAAUUACAAAUAUAAAUUACAUUAAUAGCACAAAAUAACAUUUUUAUCCCUUAGUAAACAUACAAUUUUUAACACUAACACACCCCCCAACUAGCUUAUUGCUAGCACCUAGCAAUUAAAGCGUUAUAUUAAAUUAAGAUUUACAAAAUUCACAUGCAAGUUAAUAGUUGUUCAUCUAUCCUCUAAACUACCAAAUAAAUAAACUCUCCCAAUUUUAUUUUUUUUUUAACUCUUGGUCAUCCACUCAUUAUCCAGAAUAUCAUAAAUCUUCUUUUGUGCUCAAGUAAGUAACACAAUACUUAUGGAGUUUCAUUAAAAAAAAACAACAUUUUCGUUCUAAAACUCAUUAGAAAUUCUAUCUUCAGGCAGUAGAUUAUUCAAGCUCUUUUUUUUUUUUUACAAAAAUAUUGCGAUUUUAACCAAUGUAGUGAGCUUUAGGCCAGUGACUCCCAGACCAGUUGAUCUUAGGGCACUAGGUGUUGAAACACCCCUACAGACUUAAUUACUCGGGUUUUUAAUAAAUAAGCAAACAAUAUAUCUAUAACACAUGUAACGAGCUUUAGGUCAGUGACUCUCAGAUCAGUUGACCUUAGGGUACUAGGUGUUGAAACACCUGUACGGACUUAAUUACUCGGGUUCUAGAUAUAACAAAAUUAAACUCAUUUAAUUUUUUCUUUUUUUUCACCUUUUUUUUUGGAAUAUACACUUUCUACUACCUUAGAUAUUAUCCCUAAUAAAUUAAAAGAACUAAAUGCUGCAAAAAUUUGAACUUACAACCCACUAGUAUGUGUCAUAGUGUGUGUGUGAAGAAUGAUUUAAUAAUACUUGUUAAAUGAGUAAACAACAAAAUAACUUUAUAACUAAAUGGAGGAGAGUUCACAAAUUUGAGUAAUUCAAAGAAAAGGGAACAAAAACAACUUAUUAUGAAUUUUAAAAUCAAAAUAUAAUACAACAAGACUAUUAGGAUGCGUCUAAAAAAUUGUGACUCUUUACACAGCCAUCCUAGACACAAACAAAUUGUUGUUUUUGGUUUUUUUUUUAAAUAAACACACUUAUUUACAAUUUACAUCAACUACCCUCCCCCCAACCUAAUCUAAACAUAAUUCAUAAUUUAAAAAUAUGCAUGCAAAAAGAAAAAUUAAAUAAUAAAAGAAGAAACAGGAAAGAUCACACCUGAACAAGCCGCUGAAGAUGCGUUUCUAGAGUUGCUACACCCUAUAUUUUGUCAUCUUCGACAAAAGCAUUGCUAGGAUUUGCUAUAUUCCACAGUUGUCAACUAUUCCNNNNNNNNNNNNNNNNNNNNNNNNNNNNNNNNNNNNNNNNNNNNNNNNNNNNNNNNNNNNNNNNNNNNNNNNNNNNNNNNNNNNNNNNNNNNNNNNNNNNCCCAACCUGAACAAGACAUUAUCCUCAAUGACUUAAAGGAAAGAAGUAGAGUUUAGAAGACAUAACCUCAUAGCUCUGAGAAGAUAGUUACAACCGAAGAGUUACUUCCAACUUGUACUUCUUACUAGGGUUAGGGUUACCAUCAUUAGUCGACUAUUCCAAUGCCAAUAUCUUAGGAUCUCGCUCUGGUUUGUAAGCUUGUAAAAGAUCAAGUAACUCAUUAGCAAUAGAAGCACAAAGAAAGAGAUUUGUCGUAGAGAUUGGAAUAAAAUGAUUCUUAAUUGCAUGGUUAAUGAAUGUGAGCAACCCAUCAAAAAAAUUAUUAACAUUUAGUAAAUCAAUGGGUUUUUUAUGGAUGUUUAAAUGGGCUCAAGAUGCAAAUGUAAUCAAUGCCUCUAAAGUUGCAAGAUCUCCUUGCAAGAAAAUGAAAGCGUCAGCAUGAGUUAACAUCUCAGUUAUUCGCUCUUGCAUACUUGAGACAACUAACUCUUCUCCAAUUGGUACAUCAGACCUGCAUCCCAGAGGUUUUAAGGUUUAUGGAAUGAUACCUAGUACCUGGUUUUCUCUAAUAAAAACAGCUUAUGAGACAAGUUUUGAUAACCCGCGGUCACCUCCUCUAUAUACAAGGUGCAGUUUCCUCUCAGCUAUGGCACGACCAAGAUCUACAGCUGCUUGAACGAACUCUUUCUAUUUUCCAUAAUGAAAUCCAGAGAGCACACAAAUGUUUUUGAAUUGUCUACUCAAAGAUGUUGCCAUUAGAAUAAUCUUCAAAAACAAGUUGUGAGUGGUUUGGAAAAAGAGCUCUUAUUUAAAGAUCUAAGUGACAGACAAAAUGAGAAACAACUGUAAAUGGGUUGGUGUAUUUGUUAGAUGGUGCGUAAAGCUCAUGUCUCAAUUAUUCAAAAGCAAACAGUAAAAAGAAAAGCAAACAGUGAAAAAAAAAGUAAAAGAAAACAAAUAAUGAUUAAAUACAAAAUCACUCCAUUAAAUGCAAUAAUGCAAAUGAUAAAAGAACAAUGAAGUAAAAGGAUAUUUACUGGUAGUUGUGAUUGUGGCUCACAUCUUCUCUGGUUUUACGUCCAGUAACGGCUUGAACGCCCUCUAUGGGUUGAGGAUAGGCUUCCAAUUUAGUUUUCUUAUAAACUGGCAAAUAUGGUAUUUUUUAGUUAGAUUCCUAAGACUAAACUGUGCACAUUAUUUUUAGAAUAGUCUCUAUAACCUGUGUAUCUCAUAUUGCACAUGUCCGCUUCGAUGCGUCUCUAGAGAUCGUAAGAUAUCAUCCAACAAUUUUUUACUCAUGUCAUCUUUAACGAAUUUAAUUUUAUCUCCUCGAUUAUCAGAAACCAUUCCUAAAGAUUUACAAACUUCUAGUUUGCAACUAAGUCGUACACAAUUAUGACAUUCUGAGCCAAGUCUUCUAGCUCUCCGUUUUUUAGCAAAUGUGCUUUUACCAAAACCAGGCAUGUAAGAAAUAAAUGGAUCAGGAUGUUAACAUUUAUGUAUUCAUAAUGUUGAUUUUGAUGAUAACAAACAAAAUUAAGAAUGAUUAAGUUUUUAAAAGCUCAAAUUAUUUUUGUACAUUUUAAAUAAAUCAUUAUUUUCACAUUUUAAAGGUUUUAUAUUUAAUGGAAAAAUGAUUUUAUGAAAUUAGUUGUUUUUCAAGUUUAUGGUUUAAUUGAAAGAGUUUUGAAAACUUUGAAAUCAACAAGUAUUGUUUGAAAUUUUGGAGAAGGAUUUAUUUGAAAAGUAUUCAUAGCAUUUUGGGCCAUAUCAUAAUUGCAGAAAGUUUUGGGAAUGGUAAGCAUUAUUUAGAAAUUCUAAAAUUGGUCUAUUUGCAAAAUUUAUAACGUUUUGGGCCAUAAUAUAACUAUAUAAAGUUGAGAAAUUAUCAUUUGUAUACCCUUAGUUUACUCCAUUAUCAAAAAUACUACAACACUUUGAGGGUGUAUCAAUCGUCCACCCUAAGUUGACAAAAUGUAUCAGCUGACUACCAAACCGUUAGUUGCCGUUUAAGUAUGAUGACGUCAGAAGGGUAAUUUGGUCUUUUCAUAUGAUACAAGUGAUAAUUUAAGGGUAUACAAGUGAUAAAAAGAGAAUUUAAGGGUAUACAAGUGAUAAUUUUCAAGGGUAAAAUUGUCAAUUCACUGUAACUCCGUUAACUUUCAAACAACAACUAACGGUUUGGUGGUCGGCUGAUACAUUUUGUCAACUAAGAGUGGACGAUUGAUACACCCUCAAAGUAUUGUAGUAUUUUUUAUAAUAGAGCAAAUAUAGGGUAUAUGAAUGAUAAUUUCCCUAUAAAGUUUUGGGGUCAAACUGUUAUUUUAUAAAAUAGUUCACUGUAGCAGUUACUGUAGAAACGGCGAUCCGACAUCUUGAUAACGGCUCGCCGACAUCGAACAGAACUGAAGAUUAGCCUCUGGACACUAACGGCAAUCUGACAUCUAGAUAACGGCUAACCGACAUUGUACAGAAUUGAAAUAUUAGCCUCUGGACACUAACGACGAUCCGACAUCUAUUAAAACGAUGAUCCGACAAUUUGAAAAUUCAGCCCAACGGUCAUAUUGACCAGUCAAACGGUGAUCCGACAUCUAGUUAACGGCGAUCCGACAGUGAGCAGAAAGUCAAUAACAACUAGUUUUUAGCUCCAACUAUAAAUAAGCUCAUUCAAAUCCAAAUAUGAAUAAUUCCAACGAUCAUCAUUGAGCAAAAUAUAGAGAAUACAACUUUUAUUGAGCUUUAAAUCCUUGUAUUCAUCUCAUUCAUUCACACAUUGAGCUUUCAUUUGUGAUCAAACACAUUGUGUGAGAGAAAUUCAUUUGUAAUCCUUUUUGUAAAAUCAAGUUAAAAGAUUGUAAGUGUUGUGAUACACUUAGGUUAAGAGAUUGGGGAUAAUCUCUUAUUGUGAAGGUCUAUUGACACCUUGGAAGUCAAUUGUAAACAUUUGAAGCCUUGGAGGCUUGCUUAGUGAAAUCCUCAAGCCCGGUGAGCUUGGAAACGUGGACGUAGGCGGGGAUUGCCAAACCACGUAAAAAUCAUUGUGUUAGCUCUCUCUUCCCUUACUCCUUUAUUAUUAUGCUGUAUUGAAUUUAUUGUUUUUCAUUCCAUUAAGGCAUUAGAUUAAAUUGUUGUGUAAUUUGCUUAGCUUAAUUUUUAAAAUCUCAAUUCACCCCCUCCCCUCUUGGGUUGCAUAACUAGAAUUUCACAGGAAACUCACCAGCUAAUCGGACCUUUACUUCAAUUAACCAACAAAUAUCAGAAGGAAUUCUAUUGAUCAUUAACAAACCCAACCUUUCACAACGAGCUUUGUAAAUUUUUUUGAGUGCAUUUUGAGGGAGAGAAGGAAAACGCUUUUGCAAUUUAUGUUGUAUUUCUUCCAUGCAUGAUUUUGAGAUUUCAGUUUUUGUGGGAAACUAAGGAUACCGACUUAAAAAGUCAUAGAGUACCGUUAUCCACCAUUUAUACGGGAAAAUAAAUCAAAACACACUAAAAUCAAAUCUACAAAAUCAAAUCAAACGUGAAAGCGAAUAACAAAAAAGAAACACAAUAUGUACAAAGGAAAAUGAGCUUACAUUCUUCCUCUCAUUGAGUUAACCUCAAGCUCCAAUGGAAAUUCAUAUAUACCACGCUCUAUUGCUUUGAGUUGUCUUUCUUGAUCCUUAACGUAGACCACUAAUUCUGGUGGUUGUCGUUCCCAAAUUGGAUGUGAUUUACAGCUUUGUAUCAAUCUUCUCAAGUGAAAUCUUAUUCGCAAAAGUCUUUUAAGAUGUGUGAACAGAAUCUUCCUUAUUGAGGUACUCAUGAUGUAUAAUGAUGAAUAAAACACAAUUAUUAAACACACUUAAGUAAGAAAUAUCACAACACGUAUCAUUUAAGACAGUCAAACAAUUCAAACGGUAAAACAACAGUGAAAAGUUAAAAUACUCAUUAAAAACUUAAUCAAGAUUUUGUGGGUCACUCAAAUUUAUUUCAGUGCAUGGCUCACGUGAUUGGUAUUCCAGAUAUGGCUUUAUUCUUUGUUCGUUAACUUUAAAUGUAACACUAUUUUUUGGAUUCUCAAUUUGUACAGCCCCAUGUGGAUAUACAUUUUUUUACAAUAAAUGGGCCACUCCACUUUGACUUUAGCUUUCCUGGAAACAAAUGAAGACGAGAAUUAUAAAGCAACACUUUUUGACCAAUUUCAAAUGUUUUUUGAAAAAUUCUUUUAUCAUGAAAAAGUUUUGUUCUUACCUUAAUAAUUCUUGAAUUUUCAUAUGCAUCAUUUCUUAAUUCCUCAAGUUCAUUCAAUUGCAAUUUUCGCACAUUACCAGCAUCAUCCAAAUUUGAAUUAAAAGCUUUAACAGCUCAAAAUGAUUUAUGCUCAAGUUCAACAGGUAAGUGACAAGGUUUACCAUAUACUAGCCGAUAAGGUGACAUUCCUAAAGAUGUUUUAACAAUACGGUAUGCCCAAAGUGCAUCAGUCAAUCGAAGAGACCAAUCUUUGCGGUUUGGGUUAAUUAUUUUUUCUAAAAUUUUUUUUAUCUCCCUAUUUGCUAAUUCAACUUGACCAUUUGUUUGAGGAUGAUAAGGGGUAGCAAUUUUAUGUGUAAUUCCAUAUUUUUUCAUUAAAGACUCAAAUGACUUAUUACAAAAAUGCCUACCUCCAUCACUAAUAAUGGCUCGAGGGAUUCCAAAUCGACUUAAAAUGUUUUCUCUUAAAAAUUUAACGACAGUUUUACUAUCAUUAUUUCGACAAGACAUUGCUUCAAUCCAUUUUGAGACAUAAUCAAUUGCAACUAAUAUGUACACAAAUCCAAAAGAUGGUGGAAAUGGACCCAUGAAAUCAAUUCCCCAACAGUCAAAUAUUUUAAUCUCAAGUAUGGGAUUUAAGGGCAUUGUUGUGCAAAUUUUAAUGUACUCGCAAGCGCACGAAUCUAUUGUAGUAUAGAUCUAUGGUGACGAGUGUCGAUCCCACGAGGAGGUGGAUUUUAAUUGUGUAUAGAAUUAAUUUUGUAAAUGGGUUGUUGGAUUUAUGGUGGAAAUGAUUUGGAAUAUGCUAAGACUUAAAUUAAAAUGGCGAGAAUAAAUUCUAAAAUUGGAAUUGCAAUUGAGAGAAUAAAUUGAAGAGAAAAUCUAUUAAAUUGACGUACUUGGGUAUCUGGAUCCGUAUCAACAUGCAUCAUGGGCUAAAUAAUUCGUAUUAAUGCCAAUUAAAUCAUGAGGGGGGAAUCCACACCUCAUGAACCACGCUCUAAUCAAUAUGGUGCUAAGGGCUUAUCGUGCCAAAUAAUAAUAACCUUGUACCAGAGGGCCGGUGAAACCAAGGCGGUACUAGACAAGAUUAGUAUUAUUUGUCGACGAGAAGUCAAAACAUCCACAAAAACUAGAGGGGAAGAGAAAAUAAAUUUACCAAAUAAAGCCCAUGACACAUGUUGAGACUUCACCUUCAACCCAAGCUUGAAAGAAAAUUAGCCACUCAUAAUUGAACUAGGGGCAAAAUGGGAAUUUAUUAAAAUACGAAGAAAAUACAAGAUGGAGAAGGAAUUAUAGAAAAUGGAUCCCAAAAAUAGAUUCAGAGAUAUCAGAUUAGGGGGGGGAGGCCCCCUUUUUAUAGAUACAUGGAGUAAAUCAUGGCCAUCGGAUUAAAAACAGUUUGGACGCUCAGGAUUGCGCCACGUCAUCAGUCAACAGUCCACGGUUUGACCACGCGGAUGAACAGUAACACGGUUUGACCCGACUUUGAACAGUAACGCGGUUUGACCCGGAUGAACAGUAACGCGGUUUGGUUGAAAAUAAUCCUGUGUGAUGCAUGCACCGUACGCGAGAUUUUUCGUCCACUGAUAUGCUGCCACGUCACCAUCAACAGUACAUAAGAAUUUUAGUCAAACAGGAUCGUGACACCUCAUCAGUCAAUGCCACAUCAUCGGUCAAUGCCACGUCAUCAUCCGUCUAUGUGAACAGUGUCGUGAACAGUAACGUAUACAGUACCGUACACGUGAAUAGUACCGUACAUGUGAAUAGUGCCAUUUUUCCUUUUAUGCUCCUCCUAAGGUUUUCGACCGUCCUGAGUUCAAAAGUGAUGUCCGUUUUGCCGUCUGAUCUCUCCUUUAUUGUGAAAUGACUAUAAUGCCCCUAAAAUACAUAAAAUACUUAAUUAAAAUAAAACACAUGUAAUUAAAUCACAAGAAGGUUAAAUAUAUAAAAGUAAGGGUUGUUAGUAAGACUUAAAAUGUAAAAUGACGGUUUUCUCCUUUAUAAAUAUGCAUUUUCUAACACUCAACACACCCCCCAACCAGCUUAUUGCUAGUCCCUAGCAAAUAAAGCGAAAACAAAAUUCAAAUUCAAAAUAAUUUUUUUUUUGUUUUAAUAGAAACACUCGUAUUUAUUCCAUCAGAUUAAUGAUAGCAAUCAAAUAAAAGUAUAAGCAUUAUCUCCAGUCUAAAGCAACAUCACACCCACAUCAACCAUCCACAUGAAUUAGCCCAGUAGACUUUGUUUUAGCUACUCUCAAGAAUGACAUGUCAAACCCCAAAAUCUCACUGGAAGUAGUGACACUCUCACAAAUAAAUUAAUCCCAAUAAAAAUAGUCACUCCAAUGAAUGGUAAUUGAGAGAGAAAAUAAUAAAGAAGUGAUAUCACAUGCUCUCACCAAGAUGAAAUAAAUAUGCCCUCAGCUUAGAAAUAAUACGAUCUCAAGUCAAAUAAAAUGUUAGUCAACCCACUUUAUUUAUCUUUUUUUUUUUUUUUUUAAUUAUGCAUCACUACAUCUUUUUAGCCCAUAUAACUAGCUUCUACUUCAAACUAUAGUUCCCUAAAAUCAAGAAGGACUUUUAUUAGGACGAAACGUAGGCUAGGGACAUGGCUAACAAAGAAGGAAAAUAAGGAAAACAAAGUGUAUGUUUGAGAAAAAUGCAGAGAAUUUUUUUUUUUUUUUUUCUGGAAGUUGCAAGGUGGAUUUCACCUAUUUUUAUUCUUUUGAAACAACAACUUUUGUUUUUGUUUUUGUUUUUUUUGUUUUUUUUUUUUUGCUUUUAUUUGGCAUAACUUCACUGAACAAAAUAAUUAUUUACAUUUUCUCAAACAUACAUAGGUGAUGGAACUUAUAAGAUAUCAGGUAAUACUCCAAAUCGGAGUGGGUCAAGAUGAUAAGUUGACAAAGAAAAUGUUUUUUUUUUUUAAAGGCUCAAAAGGGUUAACUAUGGAUAUUAAAUAAAAGGGAUGGCUUGAAAGGCUCAAACGGAUCAAAGAUGGCCUCUCCAUCGUCUUUUAGGGCUCUAAAUAAUUUUCCAUAUCUACUAGUUAGAUGGGCCUCCAAAUGUAGCAACACACUCUUUUUUUUCUUUUUUUUUUCUUUUUUUUUACCAUUUUUUUAAAGGGUUAACUCAAAAGAAAUGUAGAGAUCGUGUAUAAAAUAAUAAACUGCUAAGCUGUAUAGAGAAUGGGCAAAAGGGUUACUCUCCAAGAAAAUGAUAGGCUCAACAACUCACUUGGCACUUAUUUAUGACAUGUUCAUUCCUUCAAGCAACUCAUAUUUGUCUCCGACAUCAACAUGUAAAGUAGCAAACAUAGCGUAACAUCACUUAAGACCAAAGAUAAUACAAAUAAUAAAAUUUGAAAUUAAUCAUGUCAUCCAAUGUUAAAACAAAUAACACAAAUUUGUUUUUUUUAACAACAUUCUACCCCCCAACCUAUUCUAAACAUGAAAGAAAAAUAUGCAUGCAGGAAUGUGAAAAUGAUGUAGAAAAAUUUAUUAGAAAAAAAUUUUUUUUUUUUAACUAAGAAGAUGCGUUUCUAGAGGCACUACACUCCAUAUUCAGCCAUCUUUGACUCAAAAGUUGGAAAAUGUAUAUUUAUAGAGGAGAAAUUAAAGAAGAAAAAUAAACAUAAACACAUAAUAAAGAAAAAGAAAAUGUCUGAAAUUAAUUUUUUUUUUUGAAUUUUUUUUUGAAUUUGUUUUUAAACAAUGAAGAUGCGUUUCUAGAGUAACUACACUCCAUAUUCAGCCAUCUUCAACACAAAAAGUUAGCAACAGUUAGUUUCUACAACAAAAAAUUAGUAAAAACUUAACCAAAAUUCCACAAUUGUCGACUAUUCCCUCCCCCCAACCAGAACGAAACAUUGUCCUCAAUGUUUGAAAUGAAAGAAGUAGAGUUUAGAAGACAUCACCUGGGUGGUGCAACACAGAAGAAAAUAUUUACAGGCGGAGAGUUAAAUCUAAUUUGUACUUCUUACUGCGGCUACUGUUACCAUCAUUAUUUGGACGCUCCAACACAAAGGUCCAGGGGUCUGGCUCCGGUCGAUAAGCUUGUAACAUAUCAAGUAGCUCAUUAGCAGUGUGAGCACAAAUAAAGAGUUUUUUCGCAUUAGAGGGAAUGAAAUAGUUUUUUAUUGCAUGGUUAAGAAAUGCGAUAAAGCCAUCAUAAAAGUUAUUGACAUUUAACAAACCGAUGGGUUUCUGGUGAAUGUGUAGAUGGGCCCAAGAUGCUAGUGUCAUAAGUGCCUCUAGUGUUGCAAGAUCUCCUGGAAGGAAAAUAAAAGCAUCAGCAUAAUUAAGCAUUUCNNNNNNNNNNNNNNNNNNNNNNNNNNNNNNNNNNNNNNNNNNNNNNNNNNNNNNNNNNNNNNNNNNNNNNNNNNNNNNNNNNNNNNNNNNNNNNNNNNNNNNNNNNNNNNNNNNNNNNNNNNNNNNNNNNNNNNNNNNNNNNNNNNNNNNNNNNNNNNNNNNNNNNNNNNNNNNNNNNNNNNNNNNNNNNNNNNNNNNNNNNNNNNNNNNNNNNNNNNNNNNNNNNNNNNNNNNNNNNNNNNNNGAAAUAAAAGCAUCAGCAUAUAGCAUUCAGUAUUCUUUCUUGCAUACUGAGACGACUAACUCUCUCCAGUUGAUGAGUCAGACGAACUGCCCAAUGUUAGGACUCUGGGAUGAUGCCUAAAACACUUGACUUCCUCUGAUAAAAGCUGCUUCGGAGACCAUUUUUGAUACCCUCGGUUACCUCCUCCAUACACCAAAUGUAAAUUUCUCGCUGCUAUGCUUCGACCAAGAUCUAUGGCUGCCUCAACGAACUCUUUAUGUUUGCCAUAGGUAAAUCCAGAAAGCACACAAAUGUUCUUGAAUUGUCUAUUGGGAGUAGCUGCCAUUGGAAUAUUUCUCAAAAACAAUUUGUGAGUGUUUGACAAAAGAAAUCACAUUUAAGAGUCUUGGUGAUAGUGGGUCACAGCUGUGAAUGAGGUAACAUGUUAGUGUCAAAUAACGCAUGAAGCACAUGGCUCGCGAGUCAAAAAGAAAACAGUAAAAAGGAAAAAGCAAACAGUAAUAAAAUUAUUAAAGACAAUAAUGCAAACAAUAAAACAACAGUGAAAUGAAAUAAAAUAACAGUAAAGUAAAAGGAUAUUUACACGUAGUUGCGACUGUGGCUCACAUCUUCCUCUGGUUUUACGUCCAGAAACGGCUUGAACGCCCUCUAUGGGUCGAGGAUAGGCUUCCUAUCCAGUUUUCUUAUAAACUGGCAAACAGGGUCGUUUAUAGUCAGAUUCCCGAGACUAUAUCGUGCAUGCUCUUUCUGGAAUAAUGGCCAUAACUGGAGAAUCGCUCCUUGCACAUAUCCACUGGGAUGCGUUUCAAGAGACAAAAGGAUAUCAUCCAAUGACUCCUUAUUCAAGCCAUCCCUAAUGAAUUGAAUCUUAUCUUCCCUGUUAUCAGACACCAUUCCUAAAGAACAUGGGUUUUUAUUGCAACUCAUUCUGGCACACUUAUGACAAGCAACAGAAAUUCUUCGAGCUCGUCGUUUUCUUGCAUAAUUUCCUUUACCACAACCAGGCAUGUAUGCAAUAAAUUUUGGAGGUAACUCACCUGCCGAUCGUACUUUAGCCUCGAUUAACCAACGGAUGUCAGCAGGUAUGUUAUUUCUCAUGAGUAAUCGCAUGCGUUCGGACCGAGCUUUAUAGAUCGUAAGGAGGGCAUUUUGAGGAAGUGAAGGGAAUCGCUUGUGAAGCUUCGUUAGAAUCUCGUUUCUGUCCAUACCUUCGCCUCAGAAUAUCAGUUAUUAUGGGAAACUGAAGUAACCGACUUGAUUGUCACGGAGUACCGUUAUCCGCCACUUCACCGGGGUAACAAACUAAAGCACACAAACAGAAAAACAAAUUAAAACACACAAAGAAAAUUAAAAUCGUCCUCUUAUUGAAUUUACCUCAAGCUCCAACUGGAUGUCGUAAACACUUCUCUCAAUGUCUCUGAGUUGGCUUUCUAAACCCUCAACAUAGGCUACUAACUCUGGUGGUUGUAGAGCCCAAAUGCGUUGUGUUUUACAAAAUUGAAUCUACCUUUUGAGAUGAGUUUUGACACGUUGAAGUGGUUUAAGAAUGUUCAGGAGGAACGGUCUAAGUAUGAGACUCAUGAUUAAAAAUGAUAAGAGAAAACUUAAUGGUAAAAUAAACACACUUAUGCAAAAACAAUUUCAAUUAGCAAAAGAAUAAUAAUAAAAAGAAAGAAAGAAAAAUCAAAUCAACGAAAAGAAAAAAAAAAUCAAUUCAAAUUUGGUGGGUCACUCAAAUUUAUUUCGAUGUCUUCUUCAUGUGGUUGGUACUCUAGAUAUGGCUUUAAUCUUUGACCAUUAACUUUAAACGUGACACCAUUCUUUGGGUCUUUAAUUUCAAUUGCCCCAUGUGGAAAAACAGUAUGAACAAUAAAUGGGCCAGACCAACGAGAGCGUAACUUACCUGGGAAUAGGUGCAAGCGAGAAUUGAAUAAAAGCACUUUCUGACCUGGAGUGAACGAUUUUCUCAUAAUUUGCUUAUCAUGGAAGACUUUCAUUCGUUGCUUGUAAAUCUUGGCAUUUUCGUACGCGUCAUUGCGAAUUUCUUCAAGUUCUGCCAGCUGUAAUCUUCUUUCUGAGUUGGCUUGCUGCAUGUCAAAAUUGAAUUUCUUGAUGGCCCAAUACGCACGAUGCUCGAGUUCCACAGGUAGGUGGCAAGCUUUUCCAUACACUAGCCUGUAGGGUGACAUCCCAAUCGGCGUCUUGAAAGCCGUUCUAUAUGCCCAUAAUGCAUCAUCAAGUCUUAAUGACCAAUCUUUCCUGUCUGGCCUCACCGUCUUUUCUAAUAUGUGCUUUAUUUCUCGAUUGGAGAUCUCAACUUGGCCACUGGUUUGCGGAUGAUACGGGGUCGCCACUUUGUGUGUGAUUGAAUACUUUGUCAAAAGUGCUUUGAAUGCUUUGUUACAAAAGUGGGCACCACCAUCACUGAUUAUUGCUCGAGGGAAUCCAAAGCGUGAAACAAUGUUGCUUUUCAAAAAUGCUAUCACCACCUUGUGAUCAUUGGUCCUACAUGGAAUUGCUUCUACCCAUUUUGAUACGUAGUCAACAGCAACCAAUAUGUAUUGAUGGCCAAAAGAAGGGGGAAAGGGUCCCAUGAAGUCGAUACCCCAUACGUCAAAAAUCUCAACCACUAAAAUUGGAUUUAGUGGCAUCAUGUUCCUUCGUGUAAUGCUUCCCAUUCGUUGACACCUAUCACAUGAAGAACAGAAAGUGUAAGCGUCUCGAAAUAUAGAUGGCCAAUAGAAACCACAUUGUAAAACUUUAGUCGCUGUCUUCUUAGCACUGAAAUGGCCUCCACAAGCUUGUUCAUGGCAGAAUGAAAGGAUAUUCUGAAUUUCACUUUCUGGGACACAUCGUCUAACAAUUUGAUCCGCACAAUACUUGAACAAAUACGGGUCAUCCCAAAAGAAAUUCUUUAUCUCUGCAAAGAAUUUAGCCUUGUCUUGCUUGGUCCAAUGCUCUGGAAGUUUACCUGUAACAAGAUAAUUAACUAUAUCAGCAUACCAAGGUAAUACUUCCACACUCAUUAAUUGUUCAUCUGGAAAUGACUCAUUUAAUGGUAAUUGUUCUAUAAUUGUGUCAAAAUGGAGACGAGAGAGAUGGUCCGCCACAACAUUUUCUGUCCCUUUCUUAUCUUUGAAUUCCAAGUCAAAUUCCUGCAAAAGUAACACCCAACGAAUUAGUCUGGCUUUUGCAUCUUUCUUUGUGAGAAGAUAUUUAAGAGCAGCAUGAUCUGUGAAUAUAAUUAUUUUACAACCAAUGAGAUAUGAUCGAAAUUUUUCCAAUGCAAACACUACUGCUAGCAUUUCUUUUUCAGUAGUUGAAUAGUUCAACUGUGCAUCAUUCAAUGUCAUACUAGCAUAGUAAAUAACAUGGGGAAUUCGAUCAACUCUUUGUCCUAAUACUGCUCCUACUGCAUAAUCAGAUGCAUCACACAUAAGCUCAAAUGGUAAGCUCCAGUUUGGGGCCUGAAUGAUGGGUGAUGAUGUCAACAACUGUUUUAAUUUUUCAAACGCCAUAAGACAUGAAUCAUUAAAGAUAAAAGGUACAUCCUUAGCAAGUAAAUUGCAUAAGGGUCUAGAAACUUUGCUAAAAUCUUUAAUGAAACGUCUAUAGAAACCAGCAUGCCCAAGGAAAGAUCUUACUUCUCUGACUGUUUUGGGUGGAGGAAGAUUAGAAAUGAGAUCCACCUUGGCUUUGUCAACCUCAAUACCUUUGCUCGAAAUGAUGUGACCGAGAACAAUACCUUGUUUUACCAUAAAAUGGCAUUUCUCCCAAUUUAAGACCAAGUUCUUCUCGAUACAUCUCUGCAGAACUAGUGUUAGAUGAUGUAAACAUUGAUCAAACGAGUCACCAAAGACAGAAAAGUCAUCCAUAAAGACUUCAAGGAAUCGUUCAACCAUAUCAGAAAAAAUGCUCAACAUGCAUCGUUGAAAUGUAGCAGGUGCAUUACAUAAUCCAAAUGGCAUUCUCCUAUAUGCAAAUGUGCCAAAAGGGCAAGUGAAAGUAGUUUUCUCCUGAUCUUUUGGUGCUAUGGGAAUCUGAUUAUAUCCUGAGUAACCAUCUAGAAAGCAAUAAAAUUCGUGGCCUGCUAAUCUAUCAAGCAUUUGAUCGAUAAAUGGUAAAGGAAAAUGAUCUUUACGUGUGACAGAAUUCAAUUUUCUAUAAUCAAUGCAUACACGCCAUCCUGUAGUUACUCUAGUUGGUAUCAAUUCAUUAUCGGCAUUCGUAACUACUGUGACUCCUGACUUUUUGGGGACAACUUGUACAGGACUGACCCAUGAACUAUCAGAAAUGGGGUAAAUGAUACCUGCAUCUAAUAGCUUAAGGACUUCAGUUCUAACCACUUCUUUCAUAUUAGGAUUUAACCGACGUUGCAUUUCCCUAGUAGAUUUAGCAUUUUCAUCAAGGUGAAUGUAAUGCAUGCAGUCUACUGGAUUUAUACCUUUGAUGUCUGCUAUGGUCCAUCUUAAUGCUCCUUUGUGCUCUUUUAAAACAUCCAACAACUUACCUUUUUGUUCAUCAUUUAGGGAUGAUGAGAUGAUUACCGGCAGAGUACUUUCUUCUCCCAAAAACGCAUAUUCCAUAGUGUUGGGCAAUGGUUUGAGCUCGAGUUUCGGUGGUGAUUCUGAUGAUGGAAUGAGUUGCUUCUCUGAUGGUGCUAGUUGCUCAACUCUUGACUUCCAUUUAUUAGUGUCCAUAGAUGGUGCUGAGUCAAGCAGGGCGUUGACCUCAUCAACCGAUCUGUCAAUAUCAAAAUCAAAACCAAAGUGAGUUAAACAUGUUUGUAAAGGAUCACCACUAAGGUUUGAAAGAAAAGUGUCAUCAACUAAUGUUUCAAUUAAAUCCACAUCAACAAUUCCAUCAUCUGCACUGUGAGGUUGUUUGGCAAUGUUGAAGAUGUUCAGCUCCAUAGUCAUGUUGCCGAAGGACAACUGCAUAUUUCCAGUUCUACAUUGAAUGUGAGCAUCUGCAGUUGCCAAGAAAGGUCGGCCUAGAAUAAUGGGGAUGUGCUUCCUUGAAUCCUGUAUUGGUUGAGUGUCAAUUACAAUGAAAUCAACAGGAAAAUAAAACUUGUCUACCUGGAUAAGCACGUCCUCCACAAUACCACGAGGUAUUUUUGUGGACCGAUCUGCAAGUUGUAACACCACUGGAGUUGGGUGUAAUUCUCCCAGUCCAAGUUUCACAAACACAGAGUAAGGCAAUAAAUUUACACUAGCUCCUAAAUCCAACAAAGCAUUCUCAAUUGUGUGGUUCCCUAUACUACAUGAGAUAGUGGGGGAGCCUGGGUCUUUGCAUUUUAAAGGAAUUUUAUGUUGGAGUAUAGAACUAACGUUUUCUGUUAAAAAUGCCUUCUUUUGGACAUGCAUAUUUCUCUUUUUAGUACAAAGAUCUUUAAGAAACUUGGCAUAAGAUGGAACUUGCUUUAUAGCAUCAAGUAAAGGAAUGUUAACACUUACCUGUUUGAAGAUUUCGAGAAUCUCACCUGUAGAUUUUCCCUUUUUUCCUUUCGCUAACCUCUGAGGAAAUGGAGCUUUGGGAAUGUAUUCUCGUGGGUUGGCUUCUUCUCUCUCCUCCGGUGGUGAGUCCUCAACGUUCACAGGUACAAUUUGAGUUUCCUUUGUCACCGGCAUCUCCACUUUGUUGUCGAUUUCUUUUCCUUUUCGCAAGGUCAUUAUUGCUUUGACCUCUCCAUGCUGCUGUGGUGAACUGGUACUCGCUUCAUGCACUCCUUUAGGAUUAGGCACUGGUUGACUUGGAAAUUUUCCUUUCUCAACAGUCAUUGCCAAGGUCUGAACUGAAGAAGCGAGUUGUCCCACCAUCUUCUCCAGGCUUGAAACUGAUUGAGCUUGUGAGUUGAAGCCUGCUCUCAACUCAUUUCGUAGUCCAUCAAUGGUGCGGUUCUGUUGCUCAAUCGUGGAGUGAGUAAGAUUCUUGAGAUUCUGGAAUGAAUCCUCCCAUGGUCUGGGUUGAGAGUAAUUCUGGUUUUGAUUGUAUGGUCUAAAUGGGGGCUGAGAGGCUUGAGGAUUUUGUGGAAUUGGUGGAGCUGGAGCUAUUGGUCCAUUCUGUUGGAAUCCUUGAGACCAUGAAAAAUUGGGGUGGUCUCUCCAUCCAGGGUUAUAUGUGUUGGAGUAUGGGUUGUAAUUUGAUGGCUUUCUCAUUACACCUAUGGCAUUGGCUUGAUCUGAGUAUGAGUCAUGGUCAUGUGGCUCUGUUGAUUUAGCAGUCGAUAAUGAUGCUAUUUGUCGAGAGAGACCUUCAAUUAUCGCUUUGACUUCUUUAAUUUCUGAACUUGAUUCGCCAAUUUGAACCUCAUUCACUCCUUUAAUUCUUCUAGUAGUCCUGAGUGAUCGACUCCGUUGUUGGGAAUUAUCUGCUUGUCGCUGGAAGAAUUCCCAAAUCUCUGAUGCACUUUUUGACAUUAGCUCUCCUCCACUCGUUGCCAUUAGCCAUUCUUGCACAUUCGGCAAUAAUCCUUCCAAAAAGUAUUGGCAUUGGUGCCAUUUCUCGUACCCAUGAUGUGGACACUUCAAGAGUAGCCCAUUGAAUCGCUCCCAUGUUUCGAAAAAUUGCUCGUCCUCUCUCUGGGUAAACUCCGAGAUUUCCCUGCGAAUAGCAUUGGUUUUAUGUACUGGGAAAUAUUUAUUUAAAAAUUUUGUAACCAUUUGUUCCCAUGAUGCAAUGCUAUUAGCAGGCAAUGUAUUAAGCCAUGAACGAGCUCUAUCUUUUAAAGAAAAUGGGAAUAGUCUAAGUUUAACAUCAUCAUCUGAAAAAUUCUCAUAUUUGAAUGUUUGACAAAUGGCAUGAAAAUCAUUCAAAUGAUUAUAUGGAUCCUCAUUUUCUAGGCCAUAAAAUGUAGGGAGACAAUUUAACACACUAGGUUUUAAUUCAAAACUCCUAGCAGCUACAUUUGGGUAUCUUAUGCAUGACGUGCUCAAAUUAGCUAAGGGACUAAAAUAGUCCUUAAAUGGCCUCUCCUGUGGUGCUUGUAAAUCCAUUUUAUUUUUAACGUAUUUGUGUGUGCGAAGUGUUUUUUCUAAUUCAAGGUCUAUAGGUUCAAGAUUAGGUAAUAAUGACCUACGACCAUGCAUGCAAAAUAAAUAAAAUAAAAAUAAAGAUGCAAACAAAACAAAAAAUAAAGAUGGGAACAAAACAAAUAAAAAUAAAGAAGAGGGAGAAAUUACGAUACUAACCUUAUUGCGCUAUUACAACCUUUCUAUAAAAAUACACAAAAAUAAAUACGUGAAAGAAAUUAACUAAAAAUUAAAUUAAUAAGAUAAACAAAAAAAAUUACAAAGAAAAAUAAAUGGAAAAUUAAAUUACAAAAUUUUAAAGAAGAGAAAAAGAAAAGAAAUACUAACCUUUAAAUGUAGAUUCACUUUUUUUUUUUUUUUUUUUAAUAAUAAAAAAAAAAUACAAGAAAACAAAUAAAAGAAAUUAUUCACAAAAAUUAAUUCUAUGAAUUAAAAUUACUUACCUCCCCGGCAACGGCGCCAAAAACUUGUUGUGCAAAUUUUAAUGUACUCGCAAGCGCACGAAUCUAUUGUAGUAUAGACUAAUGGUGAUGAGUGUCGAUCCCACGAGGAGGUGGAUUUUAAUUAUAUAUAGAAUUAAUUUUGUAAAUGGGUAGUUGGAUUUAUGGUGGAAAUGAUUUGGAAUAUGCUAAUACUUAAAUUAAAAUGGCGAGAAUAAAUUCUAAAAUUGGAAUUGCAAUGGAGAGAAUAAAUUGAAGAGAAAAUCUAUUAAAUUGACGUACUUGGGUAUCUGGAUCCGUAUCAACAUGCAUCAUGGGCUAAAUAAUCCGUAUUAAUGCCAAUUAAAUCAUGAGGGGGGAAUCCACACCUCAUGAACCACGCUCUAAUCAAUAUGGUGCUAAGGGCUUAUCGUGCCAAAUAAUAAUAACCUUGUACCAGAGGGCCGGUGAAACCAAGGCGGUACUAGACAAGAUUAGUAUUAUUUGUCGACGAGAAGUCAAAACAUCCACAAAAACUAGAGGGGAAGAGAAAAUAAAUUUACCAAAUAAAGCCCAUGACACAUGUUGAGACUUCACCUUCAACCCAAGCUUGAAAGAAAAUUAGCCACUCAUAAUUGAACUAGGGGCAAAAUGGGAAUUUAUUAAAAUACGAAGAAAAUACAAGAUGGAGAAGGAAUUAUAGAAAAUGGAUCCCAAAAAUGGAUUCAGAGAUAUCAGAUUAGGGGGGGGGAGGCCCCCUUUUUAUAGAUACAUGGAGUAAAUCAUGGCCAUCGGAUUAAAAACAGUUUGGACGCUCAGGAUUGCGCCACGUCAUCAGUCAACAGUCCACGGUUUGACCACGCGGAUGAACAGUAACACGGUUUGACCCGACUUUGAACAGUAACGCGGUUUGACCCGGAUGAACAGUAACGCGGUUUGGUUGAAAAUAAUCCUGUGUAAUGCAUGCACCGUACGCGAGAUUUUUCGUCCACUGAUAUGCUGCCACGUCACCAUCAACAGUACAUAAGAAUUUUAGUCCAACAGGAUCGUGACACCUCAUCAGUCAAUGCCACAUCAUCGGUCAAUGCCACGUCAUCAUCCGUCUGUGUGAACAGUGUCGUGAACAGUAACGUAUACAGUACCGUACACGUGAAUAGUACCGUACAUGUGAAUAGUGCCAUUUUUCCUUUUAUGCUCCUCCUAAGGUUUUCGACCGUCCUGAGUUCAAAAGUGAUGUCCGUUUUGCCGUCUGAUCUCUCCUUUAUUGUGAAAUGACUAUAAUGCCCCUAAAAUACAUAAAAUACUUAAUUAAAAUAAAACACAUGUAAUUAAAUCACAAGAAGGUUAAAUAUAUAAAAGUAAGGGUUGUUAGUAAGACUUAAAAUGUAAAAUGACGGUUUUCUCCUUUAUAAAUAUGCAUUUUCUAAUACUCAACAGUUACCCCGGUGAAGUGGCGGAUAACGGUACUCCGUGACAAUCAAGUCGGUUAUUUCAGUUUCCCAUAAUAACUUUGAAUAUGGUAGGCCAAUAAAAUCCACAUUGCAAAAUUUUAGCUGUAGUUUUUCUUGAAGAAAAGUGUCCACCGCAUGCGUCAGAAUGACAAAAAUUAUUGACACUACUUACCUCAUUAUCAGGAAUGCAUAGUUGAAAAAUCUGAUCAGGGCAAUAUUUGAACAAGUAAGGAUCAUCUCAAUAAAAUUUCUUUACUUCAACCAAAUUUUUUUUCUUCUCUUGAGUAUUCCAUUGCAAAGGAAUUUUACCUGUAAUAAGGAAAUUAACAAUGUUAACAUACCAUGGUAUUGAAGUAACAGAUAAUAAAAAUUCAUCAGGAAAUGAAUCAUUGAUGGGUGUUAUAUCAGUGCAGAUUUCAUAUGUGAGUCUUGAUAAAUGAUCAACAACGACAUUUUUGGCACCCUUUUUAUCUUUGAUGGUGAGGUCAAAUUCUUGAAGUAACAAAAUCUAACGAAUUAGUCUUGGUUUGGCAUCCUGUUUAGUCAUCAAAUAUCUCACAGCAGAGUGAUCAGUUAAAACAACGGUUUUAGAACUAAGCAAAUAUGAGCGAAAUUGUUUAAUGCAUACACCACAACAAGUAAUUCUUUUUCAGUUGUAGAAUAAUUCAUUUGAGUACUAUCCAAAGUCUUACUCGCAUAAUGAAUCACAAACGACUUACGAUCUUUUUUUUGUCCUAAAACAGCACCAACAAAAAAGUCACUUGCAUCACACAUUAAUUCAAAAGGCAAAGACCAAUCAAGAGAUUACAUAAUAGGUGCAAAUGUCAAAAGGCAAAUUAUUUUCUCAAAAGAUUUUUGGCAAUCAUCAGUCCAUUCAAAUGGUGCAUCUUUUAAUAAGUGGUUACGAAGUGGUUUAGAUAUGACACAAAAGUUUUUUAUAAACCUCCUAUAAAAUUCUGCAUGUCCUAAAAAAGAUCGCACAUCUCUAAUUGUUUUUGGUUGUGGCAAUUUAGAUAUGACUUCAAUUUUUGCUUUGUCAACGUCAAUUCCAUUAAUAGAUAUAACAUGACCCAAAACAAUUCCAGAAGUAACCAUGUAAUGGCAUUUUUCCCAAUUUGAAACGAGUUCUUUUUCAACACAUCUUUUUAAAAUGUUUUCCAAAUUAUCAAGGCAAUCAUCAAAAGAAUUCUUAAACAUAGUCAAAUCAUCCAUAAAGACCUUUAAACAAUGUUCAAUCAUAUCAGUGAAAAUACUUAGCAUGCAUCUUUGAAAUAUUGCAGGAGCAUUACAAAGUUCAAACAACAUUCUUUUAAAUGCAAAUGUUCCAAAAGGACAUGUAAAUGUGGUUUUUUUUUUUUUUUUGUCUUCAAGUGCUAUAGGAAUUUGAUAAUAACCUGAAUAUCCAUCUAAAAAGCAGUAGUAUGAAUGUUCAACUACUCUUUCUAAGAUUUGGUCAAGAAAUGGUAAUGGAAAAUGAUCUUUUCUAGUGGCUUCAUUUAAUUUCCUAUAAUCAAUGCACAUGCGCCAACUAAACGUAAUUCGUGUUGGAAUUAAUUCAUCUUUUUCAUUUUUAACUACAGUGAUUCCAGAUUUUUUAGGCACUACUUGUGUAGGACUUACCCACUUACUAUCAGAGAUAGGGUAGAUAAUUCUUGCAUCAAAUAACUUAAGAACUUCUGUUUUUACUGCUUCUUUCAUGUGUGGGUUUAAUCUUCUUUAAGGUUGUUGACAUGUUUUAGCAUUUUCUUCCAAAUUGAUUCUAUGUGUGCAAAUUAAAGGAUUAAUACCUUUAAUGUCAUUUAAAGUCCAUCCAAUUAUGUUUUUAUUCUUUUUAAGAAUAGAUAGUAACUUACCUUCUUAGUCGCUUGAUAAGGUUGAAGAAAUCACAACAGGAUAAGUUUGCUCUUCUCCAAGAUAAGCAUACUUCAAUCCCUCUGGCAAAGGUUUCAAUUCCAAUUUAGGUGCUUCUUGUUGUUCAGUCUUUUCAAUGAUUCCAAGCUCCUCAAAUUUUGGUUUCCCAUCAUCACUUUGUAAAGUCUGACAAGAAUCAAACAACAAAUUUAUAUUAGAAGUAUCAUGUUCAAGUUGUUUAUUUGAUUCAAUCGAAUUAACCAAACAAAUAUCACUAAGUUCAGAAAAACUCCAUUUUUCAAUAUUCUCCUCUAUACAAGAUUCAAGCAAUUCCUUUUGUUCAUCAAUUUCAUCUUCAUUCUCAUUUUCCUCAUUAGGUUGCCUACACAUAUUAAAAACAUUCAAUUCCAGAGUCAUAUUUCCAAAUGAAAAAUUCAUUAAACCAUUUCUAUAAUUAAUCAAAGCAUUAACAGUUGCUAAAAAUGGUCGACCCAAAAUUACAGGAAUUGGUUUAUAAUUAUUUACAACAGGUUCAGUUUCUAAAACAAUAAAAUCCACAGUGUAUAUGAAUUUAUCAACUUGUACUAAAACAUCUUCUACUAUUCCUUUUGGUAUUUUAACUGAUCUAUCGGCAAGCAAAAGUGUAGUUGAAGUUGAUUUUAACUCACCAAGACUAAGUUGAAGAUAAACUAAAUGUGGAAGCAAAUUAACACUAGUACCAAAGUCUAACAAAGCAUGCUCAAUUUUGUGAUCUCCAAUAAUACAAGAAAUAGUAGGACAACCAAGAUCUUUAUAUUUCAAUUUAUUAUUAGUAGACAGAAUGGUACUUACCUGUUCAACCAUGAAAGCACUCUUUUUAACCUUCAAUUUCCUCUUAACAAUGCAUAAGUCCUUUAAAAAUUUAGCAUAUGAAGGUACCUGCUUGAUUGUAUCAAAUAGAGGAAUGUUAACUUUCACUUGCUUAAAGAUUUCAUAAAUUUAAGAAGAGUGGUUUGAUUUCCUUGGUUUAUUCAAUGCAUGUAGAAAUGGUGGUUCAGAUGGAACAUUAGUUAUUUCUUCACUAGGUGUAAGUUUAUCUAGUUCUUCCUUACCCUUUGAAUUUUCAUUUUCACAAGGUUCAGGAAUAGGCCGAUCAAUAACCUUACCACUACAAAGAGUUAUAACUGACUUAACUUGGUCCAUGAGUGCAUUUUGAAUUUUAGGAUUUGGUUGUAGUUGAGCUGGAAAUUUUUCUUUUUCUUGAAUUGUGAGUGCAGAAGCAAUUUUAGCAAGAGCAUCUUUCAAAUCAAAAAAGGUUUGUCCAUUUUGAUUGUUAAUAAUAUCUUGCUUCCUAAUGAAUGAAUGCAUUGUAUCUUCCAAUUUUUUCCAUAGUUGUGGAACAUAUGGUACAAAAGGCUGAGUAUUUUGAAAAUUUUGUGGAGGUGGUGCUUGUGAAGAUUGUGCAUUAUUAUUAUUCCUCUAACUAAAAUUUCGAUGAUUUCUCCAACCAGGAUUAUAAGUUUGUGAAUAUGGGUUUGGCUUGUUAAAAGUGUUGAUGGCAUUAGCUUGAUCAUGCAAACAUUCUUUUAGUGCAGGCAGAGUGUGACAAUCUUGAGUAAAAUGAUCGUUAGAACUACAAACAUCACAUGCAAUUUCUUGAACAUAUUUUACUUGAUCACUUUUUUUAUUUUCCAAAGCUUCAACCUUCCUAACUAGGGAUGCAAAUUUUGCUUGUAAAUCAUGAUCUUCCCUAAGGUUGUAGAUUCCUCUACUAGAUGGAGAUGGUUGUGGUUUAUUAGUCAAUUCAAAAGUUCCAACAGUAUCCCAAUGUUGUGCAUUUUUAGCUAAUUGGUCGAGAUAAUCUAGUGCAUCUUCAGGAUUUUUAUCUUUAAAUUCACCAUUACACAUCAUUUCUACAACUUGUCUAGUUUGUGGUAUUAAGUCCUCGUAGAAAUAAGUGACCAAUCGCCAAGUUUUAAAACCAUGGUGUGGACAUAUGUUAAACAAUUCUUUAAACCUAUCCCAACAUUGGUAUAAUGUUUCUCCAUUUUUUUAAGUAAAAGAAGUGAUUUGCCUUUUAAAAGAAUUUGUUCUAUGAAGUGGAAAGAAUUUUUUCAAAAACUGUUCUUGCAUGUUAUUCCAAGUUCUUAUUGAUCCAGAUCUAAGGUUUUGUAGCCAAGUUUUAACUUUAUCUUUUAAUGCAAAAGUAAAAAGUUUUAAUCUAAUUAUGUUCAUGUUACAAUUUUGGUCUGUGUAUGUAUUACAAACUUCCUCGAAAUCUCUUAGAUGCAAAUAUAGAUUUUUAGAUUCUAAACCAUGAAAUGUUGGUAAAAGUUAGAUAAUACCUUGUUUGAAGUUAAAUCGAGAUGCUUCUGGAGGAAAUGCUAUACACGACGGUGCUCCGGUUCUUGUUGGAUUCAUGUAGUCUCUCAAAGUUCUCGGUUGAUUGUGAUCAUGUUAAGAUUGGUUGUCUCCUUGAUCAAUUGGAGGAUUAAGUUGGCCUAAAUUGUUUUCGUCUUGGAUCUCGUCCAUGAUUGGUGGUGGUGAUUGAGAUCUAUGAAUUAACCUGCCACUUGAAGUGCGAGAUCAACGUCUCAUACAAUAAUUAUAUCACAAAGAUAACAAACAAAUUAGUAACACAAAAACUAAAUGAAAAUUGUAAAAAGAAAAAAAUGAAAAUUAAAUAUGCUAAUAAUAUAAGUGUGCAAAAGAAAAUUAAUAACUUAAAAUUAAAUAACAAUUUUGGUGGUUGAACCCACCAAUUAAAUUAACAAAAAAAAAGCAAAAUAAUAAAAUAACUUAAAAUUAAAUAACAACUUUGGUGGUUGAACCCACCAAUAAAAAGAAAUAAAAAAACUAAAAAUUAAAUAACUUAAAUAAAAAAAUUAGUAGUUAGUUUGUUAAAAAAUUAGUAGUUAGUUAAAAAAAUUAGUAGUUAGUUUGCUUGGUCCAAAUUAAGUCCAAGUCUAAUUAUUGUGAGAAAUUGCGUCUAGGGAUCUUAUUGCAAAUUAUUGAUAAUUUUAUAGCCACACCGGAAAUUUUAGAAGUUUAAAACUGAACCAUGUGGGAUAAAAGUGAAGAUUUGGAAAGAUUUUAGGGUCAGAACGUAAUUAUGAGAAGAAUGAGCAAGAAACGAGAAUUGUUGGGGUGAAACUAGAAUUAUGAAAGAUGUGGGGGUAGAAGAGAAUUUAAGAAAAGGAAAAGGGGGCAAACGAAAAUUUACACAAAAGUAACUAAAAUAAAAGGAAAAAUAAAACAAAAUAAAUACCUCUCCCUGGCAACGGUGCCAAAAACUUAACACGACUUAAAAUGUAUUUGAUUUUCUCUCAAGUAUAAGAGUGCCUAGUUAUAAUAUAUCUUAGUGAGUCCGAGGUCGAUUCGCAGAGAAAUGAUUUAAUUUGUUUAUUUUAUUUUAUCUAAAAUUUGAAAAUAAAACUUAAAUAUAAACAACUUAAUUUAAAUAAAACUAUGAAAUUGAAUUAGUUAGGAUUGUGGAUUCACUCUUAGUUGUAAAUAAAACUUAAUAAAUUCUUUUUGCCUUUUUUUAGAUUUAUUGCCCAAAAGAUUAAUUAUAUAAAUUAUUAUUAUUUUCCCUUUCAUUUUAUGAUGGAUUAAGUAUUCAUUGUGCCAAAAUUUAAUUUUUCUACAAUAAGUCAAAAUACCAUUUUACCAUACCGUAUAUUAAGAUAAAAAGAAUUUAUUGUGCCAAACUCCCUUAUUUGUUUACAAUAAAUCAAAAUUUCAUAAUAUAAAAUAUGUAUAAAAUUAAAUAGAAAAUAACUUAAUUUAUAAAAUUAAAAAUUGAAUUUGAUUAAAUCAUAUUUAUUUCCUAAGAGUUUCACAUUCCCCUAACUAUUAAUAUUUAGCUAAGCAUUUUUUUUAAUAAAGGAAAUUACUAAAAUUGAAAAACACAUAAUUAAAAAUGGAAUUUGAAAAUUGAAAUAAAACUAAUUUUAUUGAUUGAAAACAAAUUACAAAGAGAGAUGAGAAGAAGAAUUUGGGGGGAAAGAAGAGAAGAAAAGGUGUGGAGGGGUGUGUCCACCCAANNNNNNNNNNNNNNNNNNNNNNNNNNNNNNNNNNNNNNNNNNNNNNNNNNNNNNNNNNNNNNNNNNNNNNNNNNNNNNNNNNNNNNNNNNNNNNNNNNNNCAUUUGUCCCACUAAUAAAACAUAAACAUAAUUUAUCACUCAAGUAUAUCCAACACAUUCCACUAACAAAUUACCAUACCUAAUAUGGUAAAAACUUAUAAUUUUACAAAUUACUACAUUUACCGUGGUAAAAACGUAAAAAUUACAACAAAAGUCUUGUAUUCUCCUCGACAAUGACAUAAUUUCUCGGACUUUCGGAAUCCAAAUUUAACAUCCAUACAUUUGUUCAGAGCCUCAAAUUGUAUGAAAUUAUUAUUUUUACCUAAUAAACACACAAAAAUACACAAAAUUAAAUAUUUAGAAAAAUAAUUAGAAAUUCAUAAUGAGUUACACAAUUACAAAUAUAAAUUACAUUAAUAGCACAAAAUAACAUUUUUAUCCCUUAAUAAACAUACAAUUUUUGACACUAAUCACAUAGCAUAAAAUUAUCUCAAUGAUUGAACUGGUAUCCCUAUCGUUGAUCUUUCUUGAAACUUUGAACAACUAAUAUUUCAUCUUCUUUCCGCAUUUUCUAGAAGAUGAAAUUUGUACAAAUGAAGAGCCUCAAAGCCUCUCAAGAUUUCACCAAAUCUCUCUCAAUAUGCUCGCCAAUUAACUUUAUUUUUACAACUAGAACUUCUUCAAGCACAACCUUCUUAGCUUUAAUGUAAAUAGGCAUAACCAAUAUCAAUUAUUGGUUUUGACAUGUCUUCAACUUGAAUUGGCUGCAAAAACUCAAUUAUACUAUUAGGCUCAAUGCACAAUUUAAGAGUAGAAGUCACCUUUUCUUUUACAAUUGCAAACAUGUCUUCAAUUACUUCCUCUUGGGCAUUUGAAAUCUCAUGCACAUCUUCAAUCUCCUUGUUAGAAACAUCUCUAAGGCUAUUAUCAAGCUAAUUUACCCAAGUUUGCUUUGAACUCCUUCCAAAGAUGACAUUCAAUUUGUGUAGCCAAUUAAGGAGAUAGCACAAUCUAAGGUGUAGGUAGGGUACGAAGGCAUUCUGUUAUGUCAACAUAAAAACCCUCUAAAAUCUCACAACUAAUAACUCUUCAAUCGCGUCAAAAUAUGAAAGCCAGUAAAGUCUUUCAAACUAAUCAGCAUAUCAUAAAUAGAUCUCAUAUCUCGAUGAGUCAAACAAUAAUCAAGAGGAAUGAAUCUUGAUCUCAACAUUCUCUUCAAACAACUCCAUGAUCGAAUUUUGUAUCUUCCUUCGAGUAUCUCCAAAAGCCUUUAUAAAUUUUACUCUUUAAAUAUCUAUUUGUUUACCUAUGUGGCAAAUAGAAGAGUAAAAAAAUAUAUUAUUCUCCAAAAGACUCUUCAAAUAUAAAUAAGUUAAUAUUAGUUUAAUCAAAUAAUUAUUUUUUAAAAAGAAAAGUCAAU
Molecule: long non-coding RNA, 27039 nt
Filed under: Citrus x clementina
Lineage: Eukaryota; Viridiplantae; Streptophyta; Magnoliopsida; Sapindales; Rutaceae
Description: Citrus clementina (C. clementina) long non-coding RNA (CCLE_LNC002585)
Rfam family: Plant small nucleolar RNA R71 (bases 17310-17413)
Source: RNAcentral